UGUUGCGUGCUGCCCUUGGUGCCCGUCGGGCCUUUCCAGCCAAGCAGGGUCAGUCCUGGUCAGUGCUGAGAUGGGAGCCCAGCAGAGAGCACCCAGGAUGUGCUGGAA
Ribosomal RNA from Chelonoidis abingdonii (Abingdon island giant tortoise), 108 nucleotides. The record is from Ensembl. NCBI's taxonomy places the organism in Eukaryota, Metazoa, Chordata, Testudines, Testudinidae.